Molecule: long non-coding RNA, 802 nt
Organism: Onychostoma macrolepis
Lineage: Eukaryota; Metazoa; Chordata; Actinopteri; Cypriniformes; Cyprinidae
Exons: 6
Source: RefSeq, a predicted model, not a curated record
CUAAUAACUCACUCCUUGAGACUGGAUACUGAAGAAUGUUUAUAACGGAUAUUUCUCUCUCUGAAAUACUUACUCUCAGUCCAGUGGGGCCAGCAGGUCCCUUCUCACCAGGCUUGCCAGACUCGCCCUGCAACAAGAUUUUGUCAUAAUGGACUGGACAGAUAUAAAGUAGUAAGAGGCUGAUACUCACUCUAGCUCCAACAAGACCAGGCUCACCAGCACGACCGGCAUCUCCAGGAGGUCCACGGGCUCCAGGGGCACCAGUAGCACCACGGGCACCAGGCAUGCCCUAAGAUACAAGAUUCAUAGAUCAGUGUCUUAAAUAAAGCAUCAGAACAAUCUCCUUUCAAUACAGAACAGAUCUUUUUAUAUCACUUGAAUCUUACCAUUGGGCCCGAUCUGCCAGCCAGACCAGGCAGACCACGAGUACCAGCAGCUCCCUGCAAGAAACCCUUGGCCCAAACUUACUCUAGGUCCACGCAGUCCAGCGGGUCCAGUAGCUCCCUGCUCACCAGUUGAGCCUCUCUUGCCCUCUUCACCAGAAGGACCAGGGAGUCCCUGAGGACCAACACUACCCUGUACAGGAAAAGGCUCACCCUUGACACCAGCAUCUCCUUUCACUCCAACGGGUCCAGGGUCACCCUGAGCAUCGAAACAGUUCAAAGCCAAAAACCCAAAAAUGGCAGCUAAGGCUAAUCAGAUGGUACUCACAGCAAGACCUCUAGGACCAGAGGCUCCAGAAGGUCCUUGGGGGCCAGGGCCUCCUCUAGGGCCAGGGAAACCAGGGGCACCAGCAACUCCA